GUGCGAUACAGAAUAAAAUAUCGUAUCGGCGAUAUUCCGAUACGGAUUUUCAUACGAUACUUGAUAUCGCGAUAUUUUGGGAUAAUAUCGAAAAUAUCGUGAUACGAUAUUUAGGGGGAAAAACAAACAACAGUUUCUUUUAAACUCAUUUAUUUGCCAGAAGUAAUUAAAUUUAAAUAAGAAAAAAAAUAAAAACUGUUUGAAAUAGAAAUUAAAUUCUGAUAAAAAAAAUUAAAUUUCUUAGCAAAAAGUUUUACAAAUGAAAUAUAAAAAAUUGGUUUUCAAAUUGAAUAUCACAAAUGCUUAUGUAAAAGCCAAGGAAUUUUUUCCAAAAAAUUUUUUGAACAGGAUUCAGCUUAUACAUGAGGUUAAAAAUUUUUGCAACCUUAUAAGAUUCACCUCAGUUAUGCCUUUGUGUCGACAUGUAGUCUGCCCUAUUUAUCCCUAACAAAGAAUGGAUAAAUUUGUAGUGUUUCCGCUUGUUUUCACCUGUUUUCUGCAAUAUUUGCACUCAGCAAUAUUUUUUUUUACUUUUGAUUUUUUCAAAAUGAUUCCAUACAAAGUUAGCAGAAUGAGACCUGGUGAAACUACUACGAAGGAAGACUAAAAUCAGUAACGAAAAUAGAACAGUCUGUCUAAUGUUGCCAACUCGCCAAAUUCAAAUAUCACGCCCAACCUCUGUUGAUUUAUCCAUAGCUAUGGAUUUUUCAAAUAAGGUGAUUAAUAAUUAUCAUAAAAUUUAUUGUUUAAUUUCAUUAAAAUAUUAUUUUAAAAUAAUUUUAAUACAAGAGUUGUUUAACGAAAUCGGCCGUUAUCUUUAACCAACGAUUUAUAUACAUGCAGAAACAAUUAAAUUAUCGCAAGUAAAAUAUCGUAUCGUUCGAUAUAUUGGCGUCCAAAAAAUAUCGGAAUAUCGAGACGAGUAAAUUGGCGAUACACGAUAUAUUGUAUCGUAUCGUCCCAACUCUAGUAGUGACGAUUGAUUGGGAAGGGGCAGCCCUAAUAAAGUCAGUAUUUGAUUAUAGAGGAUUCACUACUGUUGAAGCUAUACAGUUGGAGAGAAUGAAGUAGUGUUGAAAUACCAUUAAUGAUGAUAGCCCUCUGGUGCUCUCUCCGUCAUGGAGGUGUGCACGAUCAACAACUUAUGACUUAGUAAGUGAUUUCGGACUCCAUGUCGUGGUGUGCCUAGAUGAUGAUUGGAGCUCCUAUACUGAGGAACGUGCAAACUCUGAUAUAUUGUAGUGAGCUUGUAUUUCUUUAUUUUAGUCUUUUGACUUCUAAUUUAUCUAGUUGUUAUCAUAUUAUAUUAAUUGAAUUCUCGUUUAUCGAAUAUUGUUUUAUAUAUCCUGUAAAAUUUGUUGGAGCUAAUGGUUUAUUCAUGUUAAUGUGUAUGAGUUAUUUAUUAAUUUGACUUUGUGUAUUCUAAAUUCUUUGGCGCAUAUUCUGUCCUAUCUAAGCUACUAGUUUAAACCAGUCUGAGGUUUAAGCCAGAAAG
Molecule: long non-coding RNA, 1495 nt
Filed under: Androctonus crassicauda
Lineage: Eukaryota; Metazoa; Arthropoda; Arachnida; Scorpiones; Buthidae
Source: RNAcentral